RNAcentral lists this unclassified non-coding RNA (437 nucleotides) under Athalia rosae (coleseed sawfly). RNAcentral describes it as "misc RNA ENSAEAG00005004062.1". Lineage: Eukaryota; Metazoa; Arthropoda; Insecta; Hymenoptera; Athaliidae. The record is from RNAcentral.
GCGAAUAUUUUCAAGAGAGUCGCACUUUACAUUGCGGUAGUAAUUAAUAAUAAUUUUAUCCGUUCGUCAACUUCAUUUGAGUGAGUGUCCGAUUGUUAGUCGAAUCGGAACAACUGGGAUAGACGAAAUACGAUGGCGAUAUCGAUCCGUGUAAUAAAUCAAGAAUCGGAUUGAGGUGAAGGAAGAGGCGCACGAAAAAUUUCCGAGAGAUGGAUUUGGGUGCUCGUCCGGUCAACGCGUCUAGCGGUCGUCGAAUUGCUUUCAAUCAAUCAUCACGGUGCCUAGUGCAUCGCAGUACUCAUUCAACUCCCAACCACGAAGGGCAGGAGUUACAUGGCAUCGCACAAUUCGUUUGCAGGUACCCGGAGAUGCUGUCGCCGCAGUUAUGACCCCCUGGACUUCCCCUGUUCAUCAGGGGGAGUCCAGGGACCCGUCCC